UUAAGCAUAUCAAUAAGCGGAGGAAAAGAAACUAACAAGGAUUCCCCUAGUAACUGCGAGUGAAGCGGGAAAAGCUCAAAUUUAAAAUCUGUUGGCAUUGGCCAUCCGAGUUGUAAUCUAGAGAAGUGUUACCCGUGCUGGACCGUGUACAAGUCUCCUGGAAUGGAGCAUCACAGAGGGUGAGAAUCCCGUCUUUGACAUGGACUACCAGUGCUUUUGUGGUAUGCUCUCAAAGAGUCGAGUUGUUUGGGAAUGCAGCUCAAAAUGGGUGGUAAAUGCCAUCUAAAGCUAAAUAUUGGCGAGAGACCGAUAGCGAACAAGUACCGUGAGGGAAAGAUGAAAAGAACUUUGGAAAGAGAGUUAAACAGUACGUGAAAUUGCUGAAAGGGAAACGCUUGAAGUCAGUCGCGUUGACUUGAAAUCAACCCUGCUUUUGCUGGGUGUAUUUUCUUGUCAAUGGGUCAGCAUCAAUUUUGACCAUUGGAUAAAGUUAUUGGGAAUGUGGCAUCUUUGGAUGUGUUAUAGCCUAAUGAUGCAUACAGUGGUUGGGAUUGAGGAAUUCAGCACGCCAUAAGGCCGGGUUUCGACCACGUCCGUGCUUAGGAUGCUGGCAUAAUGGCUUUAAUCGACCCGUCUUGAAACACGGACCAAGGAGUCUAACAUGCCUGCAAGUGUUUGGGUGGAAAACCCAUGCGCGUAAUGAAAGUGAAAGUUGAGAUCCCUUUGGGGAGCAUCGACGCCCGGACCAGACCUUUUGUGACGGAUCUGCGGUAGAGCAUGUAUGUUGGGACCCGAAAGAUGGUGAACUAUGCCUGAAUAGGGUGAAGCCAGAGGAAACUCUGGUGGAGGCUCGUAGCGAUUCUGACGUGCAAAUCGAUCGUCAAAUUUGGGUAUAGGGGCGAAAGACUAAUCGAACCAUCUAGUAGCUGGUUCCUGCC
Molecule: ribosomal RNA, 938 nt
Filed under: Pseudosperma breviterincarnatum
Lineage: Eukaryota; Fungi; Basidiomycota; Agaricomycetes; Agaricales; Inocybaceae
Description: eukaryotic LSU rRNA
Rfam family: Eukaryotic large subunit ribosomal RNA
Source: RNAcentral